ACCGUCUCAAGCCUUUCAAAUUAAAACAAAAGGAGAGAAGAGAAGAAAACAAAGCAAAAAUCCCUGAAGGGAAGGCAACUUCAUGCAUUGCGUGCAUGCAAAAGUGCUCCGCGUUGCUAAUCGGAAUUUUAAAGGCCAGGGUGUCCCAUCUUGCAUGAUCCAUCCUUCCUCGGGAAUCUUCUGUGCCUUGGCAACAAGUCCAUUUAUUCGGACUUUGAAUUCCUCAUAUUCUCUCUGCAAUACAUGAAAAUGUAAACUCGUCA
Molecule: long non-coding RNA, 263 nt
Organism: Rhodamnia argentea
Lineage: Eukaryota; Viridiplantae; Streptophyta; Magnoliopsida; Myrtales; Myrtaceae
Exons: 3
Source: RefSeq, a predicted model, not a curated record